CAUGCAAUACAAGGCUUAGAACCAGAUUCCUAAUCUGGGGGUCGCGCGUUCGAAUCGCGCCGGGAUCACCA
This 71-nucleotide transfer RNA is filed under the name Sinorhizobium sp. Sb3. RNAcentral's name for it is "tRNA-Arg". The record is from RNAcentral. Lineage: Bacteria; Pseudomonadati; Pseudomonadota; Alphaproteobacteria; Hyphomicrobiales; Rhizobiaceae.